UUUACUCCUACGGGAGGCAGCAGUGGGGAAUAUUGCACAAUGGGCGAAAGCCUGAUGCAGCGACGCCGCGUGAGGGAUGACGGCCUUCGGGUUGUAAACCUCUUUCAGCAGGGAAGAAGCGAAAGUGACGGUACCUGCAGAAGAAGCGCCGGCUAACUACGUGCCAGCAGCCGCGGUAAUACGUAGGGCGCGAGCGUUGUCCGGAAUUAUUGGGCGUAAAGAGCUCGUAGGCGGCUUGUCACGUCGGUUGUGAAAGCCCGGGGCUUAACCCCGGGUCUGCAGUCGAUACGGGCAGGCUAGAGUUCGGUAGGGGAGAUCGGAAUUCCUGGUGUAGCGGUGAAAUGCGCAGAUAUCAGGAGGAACCACCGGUGGCGAAGGCGGAUCUCUGGGCCGAUACUGACGCUGAGGAGCGAAAGCGUGGGGAGCGAACAGGAUUAGAUACCCUGGUAGUCCACGCCGUAAACGGUGGGCACUAGGUGUGGGCGACAUUCCACGUCGUCCGUGCCGCAGCUAACGCAUUAAGUGCCCCGCCUGGGGAGUACGGCCGCAAGGCUAAAACUCAAAGGAAUUGACGGGGGCCCGCACAAGCGGCGGAGCAUGUGGAUUAAUUCGACGCAACGCGAAGAACCUUACCAAGGCUUGACAUACACCGGAAAACCCUGGAGAGCACG
RNAcentral lists this ribosomal RNA (671 nucleotides) under Streptomyces sp. RNAcentral's name for it is "bacterial SSU rRNA". It matches the Rfam family "Bacterial small subunit ribosomal RNA", at positions 332 to 1010 of the family's 1533-position model. The record is from RNAcentral. Lineage: Bacteria; Bacillati; Actinomycetota; Actinomycetes; Kitasatosporales; Streptomycetaceae.